GGAUGCGAUCAUACCAGCACUAAUGCACCGGAUCCCAUCAGAACUCCGAAGUUAAGCAUGCUUGGGCGAGAGUAGUACUAGAUGCGGUGACCCCUGGGAAGUUCCCGUGUUGCAUCCC
Molecule: ribosomal RNA, 118 nt
Filed under: Ipomoea nil (Japanese morning glory)
Lineage: Eukaryota; Viridiplantae; Streptophyta; Magnoliopsida; Solanales; Convolvulaceae
Source: RNAcentral